This 464-nucleotide ribosomal RNA is filed under the name Vreelandella stevensii. Its description in RNAcentral is "partial 16S ribosomal RNA". It matches the Rfam family "Bacterial small subunit ribosomal RNA", at positions 338 to 794 of the family's 1533-position model. Lineage: Bacteria; Pseudomonadati; Pseudomonadota; Gammaproteobacteria; Oceanospirillales; Halomonadaceae. The record is from RNAcentral.
CCUACGGGCUGCAGCAGUGGGGAAUAUUGGACAAUGGGCGAAAGCCUGAUCCAGCCAUGCCGCGUGUGUGAAGAAGGCCUUCGGGUUGUAAAGCACUUUCAGUGGGGAAGAAAGCCUUGGGGCUAAUACCCUCGAGGAAGGACAUCACCCACAGAAGAAGCACCGGCUAACUCCGUGCCAGCAGCCGCGGUAAUACGGAGGGUGCGAGCGUUAAUCGGAAUUACUGGGCGUAAAGCGCGCGUAGGCGGUCUGAUAAGCCGGUUGUGAAAGCCCCGGGCUCAACCUGGGAACGGCAUCCGGAACUGUCAGGCUAGAGUGCAGGAGAGGAAGGUAGAAUUCCCGGUGUAGCGGUGAAAUGCGUAGAGAUCGGGAGGAAUACCAGUGGCGAAGGCGGCCUUCUGGACUGACACUGACGCUGAGGUGCGAAAGCGUGGGUAGCAAACAGGAUUAGAUACCCCAGUAGC